Mauremys reevesii (Reeves's turtle) is the source of this 601-nucleotide long non-coding RNA. RefSeq lists it as uncharacterized. Lineage: Eukaryota; Metazoa; Chordata; Testudines; Geoemydidae. The transcript has 4 exons. The record is from RefSeq and is a predicted model, not a curated record.
GUCGUGGCUCAGUGAACACUCCUCCGGAGCUGUGCUGGAAAACAGUCUUGGGAGACCGAGAGCAACGUGGAGCUGUGAGGAGAGCAUCCAACACCAUGGCAAUCAAAAUGACACCCCUCCUCCGUGAACAGCCACAUAUCUCCAAAAGCACAAAACACCAUUAAUUCAAAUAAAACACAGAGACUUAAGGAGACAAAAGAGCAAAAGGUGAAACCUGAACUCACAAUUACCUGAGAACUGCAGUCACCUGUUGUAACAGCCAAUGCCAUAACAGCUUCCAUAUGGACACUGGACACCUCUCUGAUGCGCUAUGAAAACCAGAAGCUAUGUAAUGAGAGAGAUAACUCAAACUUCCUGACCUACAGUUUGAAAAAUACCACCCACGAACAGGAAUUCUCACUGUGCAGCACACAAAACUGAGAGAUGUUGCAGUUCCUCUGAGAGGCUUUCUUUGCACUGCUAGGUCUCUGCACUGUUUGAUCUCGGUUAUCAGCCACGUUGGUAGAGUUAUAUCACCUUGGAGAGGAUUCACAUUUAGCAUGGCUCUGGGACCCUUGCCAGGACAUGGCACAGGAAUUAUUCUUCAGAUCAGCAUAGAAUU